RNAcentral lists this ribosomal RNA (253 nucleotides) under uncultured bacterium. Its description in RNAcentral is "partial 16S ribosomal RNA". It matches the Rfam family "Bacterial small subunit ribosomal RNA", at positions 524 to 776 of the family's 1533-position model. The record is from RNAcentral.
UACGAAGGGGGCUAGCGUUGCUCGGAAUCACUGGGCGUAAAGCGCACGUAGGCGGCUUCUUAAGUCAGGGGUGAAAUCCUGGAGCUCAACUCCAGAACUGCCUUUGAUACUGAGAAGCUUGAGUCCGGGAGAGGUAAGUGGAACUGCGAGUGUAGAGGUGAAAUUCGUAGAUAUUCGCAAGAACACCAGUGGCGAAGGCGGCUCACUGGCCCGGUACUGACGCUGAGGUGCGAAAGCGUGGGGAGCAAACAGG